Molecule: non-coding RNA, 2021 nt
Organism: Chlorocebus sabaeus (green monkey)
Lineage: Eukaryota; Metazoa; Chordata; Mammalia; Primates; Cercopithecidae
Source: RefSeq, a predicted model, not a curated record
GGUUGCAGUGAGCCAAGAUCGCGCCACUGCACUCAAGCCUGGGAGACAGAGUGAGCUCCGUCUCAAAAAAAAAGAAGGAAAGAAAGAAAGAAACCGCCGGCACCGGGAAAGGAGCGGUGCAGCGAUGGACCCACUGUGCUUUCCGUGCUACCAAAGUCCUGCGGCCUCUACCCACUCUAGAUUCCCAAGGCUGUUUUCUCGGGCUUAGGGAAGUCUGUUGUAUUUUUCUUUCUCUCUCUCUUUCUUUCUUUCUUCUUUCAUUUCUUUCUCUUUCCUUUUUUUCUUCUUUCUUUUCUUUUCUUUCCUUUCCUUUCCUUUCCUUUUCUUUUCUUUUCUUUCUCGUGCUCUGUUGCCCAGGCUGCUGCAGUGGCGUGAUCACGACUCAGUGCGGCCUCGCCUUCUUGGGCUCCAGCUAUCCUCCGGCCUCAGCCGGUGGAGCAGCUGGGACCACAGGUGCGCGAUACCACACCCGACUAAUUUUUUGUAGUUUUCUUAGAGACAGGGUCUCGUUUUGUUGCCUAGUCUGUUCUCGAACUCCUGAGCUCAAGCAAUCCGCCCGCCAGGGCCUCCCAAAGUGUUAGAAUCACAGGCGUGAGUCUCCGUUCUGGGCGGGAAGCCUGUAUUGUUCCUGCAUUCAACCCAGUGCAUAGUGCCUGAGAGGAGGAGGCGGUUUAGGGGCCCAGAACCAAGCGGAGGCGGCUGGUUCCAGGAACAAAGUAAAAUCCAUUCUGAUCGCCAACAGCUUCCUACGCAGGAAACAGCCCUUCCAACCUCCAUGGCGGCGGGACUUUCCCAGGCCACCCCUCGGUCCCAGAGUCUCCUCCCAGUCCAGAGCUCUCAGGAUCCUACAGGAGGGGCGGACAACUGCUUCCCUUCCAAACUGGAAACUCGGCCUAGGUUUCCGAGGAUAAUGAAAGGCACAGCGUUUUUUGACCGCGCCUUCAGGCCUGAUCCCCGACUCUCUCGGUCGCGUACCUCUCCUGCGGGAUGUAAUUCUGUGGGAACCACUCGUUUAUUCUGAUGAUUAACUGUUAGAUAUCCUUGCUAUUUGGGGAUUGUAGAUGGAAGAGAGUAGGAGAGAAAAUGGACUGCAAGACUCCGGCGCAGGAAGUGGCAUUGAUGGCAGAGGUCCGCUCCCUCUCCAAGGCCAAUGAACAUCUCAAACUGCUGUCCACUUUCCUAUACCCUUGAUCUGUGGAAUGGAUCACUGAUGUUUUCUCUGUCUUUCGGGAAAUGCAAAGCAGGCGAAUAUUCAAGCGCUUGAAUUCUCUGUUUCCCACUUUUCAGUCAGAGUGCAGCUAAAAACUCCUUUCCCAUGGGAAAUAUGGAACUGCCUCUGCCCGGAAGAAAAACGUCCCUUUCCUCUAAGCUUUCACAUUUCCCCAAAAAUCUACACAUCCCGUGAAAUCCUCACGAGAGACCUACAGACCCUACCGGGAGCUUUUCCGCAUCCUCUCCCAACCUCACCCAGAAGAUACCAUGCAACCAAUUCCAUCCUUUUCUAGAGGAACCUGGGCAGAGGACAGGUCCAGAGGAGCAUAGAAAAGGGCCUUUACAGGAACAGAAACAGCACACUCAGACAUGAAAAACUGUCCUGGCUUAAAAGGGUUCCUUUCCUCGCAGGAUUAAUGUCACCAGCCAGGUUCCUAAGCUUUGUGGAACACCCAGGACCAGAAGAAUAUAAAAUUGCAAAAGCUGGUGGCUCCUGAGUCCAAGAGUUCCUGGUUUUCCUGGACACAAACAAUAGCGCAGCACUUUCUUCCCCGUGUGCCAGAGGCCUGGGGUUCUGCAGAAGAGGCCUGGAGGACCCAGACACUGCAAGGCCUGCGCUCAGUAUAUUCUGGGCCCUGUCCUUUCACCUUCUAUUUCUUGUGUGGCCCCCAUACUCAUGCCAGCUAUCCUGGAACAGUCAAGAGUUCAAUUGUGACCUGCUUCCUCCCUCAACCUCUUCUCCCCAACCUCCACACCACACCUCUUCUUUGGGAAGAUUUGUAAAAAUUAAAGUUAUUAUAUCCAUGUAA